RNAcentral lists this long non-coding RNA (203 nucleotides) under Olea europaea (common olive). RNAcentral's name for it is "long non-coding RNA (OEUR_LNC009296)". The record is from RNAcentral. Lineage: Eukaryota; Viridiplantae; Streptophyta; Magnoliopsida; Lamiales; Oleaceae.
GAACAUCAAUUGGGAAGCAUGCUGGUGGUACAUUGGAUUAUAAGCGUGAAUUCUCAAAAGUUUGCGACUUGAUUAAUUCUCACAUUGAUCAUGGGAAGGAACGAAAGGGCAAGAAGAAAAAUUGUGAGGUGGUUAGUUGUGAGAAAAAAGGAGAAAAGCCACAAGAGAGUGAAAAGGUGGUUGAGGGUGAAAUUUCGAAAGGG